UACGUAGGGUGCGAGCGUUAAUCGGAAUUACUGGGCGUAAAGCGUGCGCAGGCGGCUUUGCAAGACAGAUGUGAAAUCCCCGGGCUCAACCUGGGAACUGCAUUUGUGACUGCAAGGCUAGAGUACGGCAGAGGGGGAUGGAAUUCCGCGUGUAGCAGUGAAAUGCGUAGAUAUGCGGAGGAACACCAAUGGCGAAGACAAUCCCCUGGGCCUGUACUGACGCUCAUGCACGAAAGCGUGGGGAGCAAACAGG
This 253-nucleotide ribosomal RNA is filed under the name uncultured bacterium. RNAcentral's name for it is "partial 16S ribosomal RNA". It matches the Rfam family "Bacterial small subunit ribosomal RNA", at positions 524 to 776 of the family's 1533-position model. The record is from RNAcentral.